GAUGAACGCUGGCGGCGUGCCUAAUACAUGCAAGUCGAGCGAACAGACGAGGAGCUUGCUCCUUCGACGUUAGCGGCGGACGGGUGAGUAACACGUAGGUAACCUACCUAUAAGACUGGGAUAACUUCGGGAAACCGGAGCUAAUACCGGAUAAUAUUUCGAACCGCAUGGUUCGAUAGUGAAAGAUGGCUUUACUAUCACUUAUAGAUGGACCUGCGCCGUAUUAGCUAGUUGGUAAGGUAACGGCUUACCAAGGCAACGAUACGUAGCCGACCUGAGAGGGUGAUCGGCCACACUGGAACUGAGACACGGUCCAGACUCCUACGGGAGGCAGCAGUAGGGAAUCUUCCGCAAUGGGCGAAAGCCUGACGGAGCAACGCCGCGUGAGUGAUGAAGGUCUUCGGAUCGUAAAACUCUGUUAUUAGGGAAGAACAAACGUGUAAGUAACUGUGCACGUCUUGACGGUACCUAAUCAGAAAGCCACGGCUAACUACGUG
RNAcentral lists this ribosomal RNA (497 nucleotides) under uncultured bacterium. Its description in RNAcentral is "partial 16S ribosomal RNA". It matches the Rfam family "Bacterial small subunit ribosomal RNA", at positions 28 to 507 of the family's 1533-position model. The record is from RNAcentral.